This 480-nucleotide ribosomal RNA is filed under the name Glutamicibacter arilaitensis. RNAcentral describes it as "bacterial SSU rRNA". It matches the Rfam family "Bacterial small subunit ribosomal RNA", at positions 19 to 512 of the family's 1533-position model. The record is from RNAcentral. Lineage: Bacteria; Bacillati; Actinomycetota; Actinomycetes; Micrococcales; Micrococcaceae.
CUGGCUCAGGAUGAACGCUGGCGGCGUGCUUAACACAUGCAAGUCGAACGAUGAAGCCCAGCUUGCUGGGUGGAUUAGUGGCGAACGGGUGAGUAACACGUGAGUAACCUGCCCCCGACUCUGGGAUAAGCCCGGGAAACUGGGUCUAAUACCGGAUAUUACCUCUUGCCGCAUGGCAGGUGGUGGAAAGAUUUAUCGGUGGGGGAUGGACUCGCGGCCUAUCAGCUUGUUGGUGAGGUAAUGGCUCACCAAGGCGACGACGGGUAGCCGGCCUGAGAGGGUGACCGGCCACACUGGGACUGAGACACGGCCCAGACUCCUACGGGAGGCAGCAGUGGGGAAUAUUGCACAAUGGGCGAAAGCCUGAUGCAGCGACGCCGCGUGAGGGAUGACGGCCUUCGGGUUGUAAACCUCUUUCAGUAGGGAAGAAGCGAAAGUGACGGUACCUGCAGAAGAAGCGCCGGCUAACUACGUGCCAGC